This is a long non-coding RNA of Mus musculus (house mouse), 353 nucleotides long. RefSeq annotates it as predicted gene, 42264. Lineage: Eukaryota; Metazoa; Chordata; Mammalia; Rodentia; Muridae. The transcript is spliced from 3 exons. The record is from RefSeq and is a predicted model, not a curated record.
CCCAACCAAUGGACAGAAGCUGCUGACCCAUGUGGUUGAAUUUGGGAAAAGCUGGAAGGGGGUGACACUUUAGUAGGAACAGCAGUCCCAACUAACCUGGACCUCUGAGAUCUCUCAGACACUCGGCCACCAACAAGAGAUAAACAUAACUAAAGUGGAAGUCUGUUAUCUCUACAAUCAAGUAACCCAAUGGAAUUGCAAGAAUACAUAGAUCCAUUUGAGUAGAAAUUUACACUAAUGAGCACCAAGAGCCACUGCAUAACUUGAAGAGCAGCACACCAAAUGCGAAGCUAAUUGAAGGGUUUUGAAUCGCAGGAGAGCUGAGCAUCAGAGCAACACAAAUUCGAGUUCAC